This 1250-nucleotide ribosomal RNA is filed under the name Staphylococcus aureus. Its description in RNAcentral is "partial 23S ribosomal RNA". It matches the Rfam family "Bacterial large subunit ribosomal RNA", at positions 328 to 1581 of the family's 2925-position model. Lineage: Bacteria; Bacillati; Bacillota; Bacilli; Caryophanales; Staphylococcaceae. The record is from RNAcentral.
AUUAGACGAAUCAUCUGGAAAGAUGAAUCAAAGAAGGUAAUAAUCCUGUAGUCGAAAAUGUUGUCUCUCUUGAGUGGAUCCUGAGUACGACGGAGCACGUGAAAUUCCGUCGGAAUCUGGGAGGACCAUCUCCUAAGGCUAAAUACUCUCUAGUGACCGAUAGUGAACCAGUACCGUGAGGGAAAGGUGAAAAGCACCCCGGAAGGGGAGUGAAAUAGAACCUGAAACCGUGUGCUUACAAGUAGUCAGAGCCCGUUAAUGGGUGAUGGCGUGCCUUUUGUAGAAUGAACCGGCGAGUUACGAUUUGAUGCAAGGUUAAGCAGUAAAUGUGGAGCCGUAGCGAAAGCGAGUCUGAAUAGGGCGUUUAGUAUUUGGUCGUAGACCCGAAACCAGGUGAUCUACCCUUGGUCAGGUUGAAGUUCAGGUAACACUGAAUGGAGGACCGAACCGACUUACGUUGAAAAGUGAGCGGAUGAACUGAGGGUAGCGGAGAAAUUCCAAUCGAACCUGGAGAUAGCUGGUUCUCUCCGAAAUAGCUUUAGGGCUAGCCUCAAGUGAUGAUUAUUGGAGGUAGAGCACUGUUUGGACGAGGGGCCCCUCUCGGGUUACCGAAUUCAGACAAACUCCGAAUGCCAAUUAAUUUAACUUGGGAGUCAGAACAUGGGUGAUAAGGUCCGUGUUCGAAAGGGAAACAGCCCAGACCACCAGCUAAGGUCCCAAAAUAUAUGUUAAGUGGAAAAGGAUGUGGCGUUGCCCAGACAACUAGGAUGUUGGCUUAGAAGCAGCCAUCAUUUAAAGAGUGCGUAAUAGCUCACUAGUCGAGUGACACUGCGCCGAAAAUGUACCGGGGCUAAACAUAUUACCGAAGCUGUGGAUUGUCCUUUGGACAAUGGUAGGAGAGCGUUCUAAGGGCGUUGAAGCAUGAUCGUAAGGACAUGUGGAGCGCUUAGAAGUGAGAAUGCCGGUGUGAGUAGCGAAAGACGGGUGAGAAUCCCGUCCACCGAUUGACUAAGGUUUCCAGAGGAAGGCUCGUCCGCUCUGGGUUAGUCGGGUCCUAAGCUGAGGCCGACAGGCGUAGGCGAUGGAUAACAGGUUGAUAUUCCUGUACCACCUAUAAUCGUUUUAAUCGAUGGGGGGACGCAGUAGGAUAGGCGAAGCGUGCGAUUGGAUUGCACGUCUAAGCAGUAAGGCUGAGUAUUAGGCAAAUCCGGUACUCGUUAAGGCUGAGCUGUGAUGGGGAGAAGACAUUG